UCCAGACUCCUACGGGAGGCAGCAGUGAGGAAUAUUGGUCAAUGGGCGGGAGCCUGAACCAGCCAAGCCGCGUGAAGGAAGAAGGCGCCAAGCGUCGUAAACUUCUUUUGUCGGGGAACAAAGGGCGCCACGUGUGGCGUUGUGAGUGUACCCGAAGAAAAAGCAUCGGCUAACUCCGUGCCAGCAGCCGCGGUAAUACGUAGGGGGCAAGCGUUAUCCGGAUUUACUGGGGGUAAAGGGGGCGCAGACGGCAGCGCAAGCCAGGAGUGAAAGCCCGGGGCCCAACCCCGGGACUGCUCUUGGAACUGCGCGGCUGGAGUGCAGGAGGGGCAGGCGGAAUUCCUGGUGUAGCGGUGAAAUGCGUAGAUAUUAGGAGGAACACCAGUGGCGAAGGCGGCUUACUGGACUGUAACUGACGUUGAGGCUCGAAAGCGUGGGGAGCAAACAGGAUUAGAUACCCCUGUACCA
RNAcentral lists this ribosomal RNA (468 nucleotides) under uncultured bacterium. RNAcentral describes it as "partial 16S ribosomal RNA". It matches the Rfam family "Bacterial small subunit ribosomal RNA", at positions 330 to 797 of the family's 1533-position model. The record is from RNAcentral.